CUCAACUUCUUCUUCACUCACAUUACUCCAAAACACAACAACUCACUCAUGGCCCCCAAACUUCAUUUUAAUCUCUUUUUAUAUUUUGCAGAUCUCACAGACUACUUACAAAAUAAAAAUAUUAUUGCACUCUCUCUCUCUCUCUUUCUCAAGUCUCAACAAACUAAAACCCCACCCCGCACCAUUAUUGUUUUCAUUACCUUAACUCCCUCGUCCACAAACAACAUAUCACUACUAGAAAACUCACACCACUGUAAUAAUAUUUUUUAGAUUCUGAAUAAUACAUUCCCAAGAAGUAAAAAAAGGAGAAUCAUAGUAAUCAAAUCUAAGAACUUAUAAGAAAAUACAAUGCCAAUAUACUACUUACUUACUUACUACUAUAUAGGAGGAGGGUUCAUCAUAAUCUCUAUACAUUAAAA
This 419-nucleotide long non-coding RNA is filed under the name Capsella grandiflora. RNAcentral's name for it is "long non-coding RNA (CGRA_LNC000225)". Lineage: Eukaryota; Viridiplantae; Streptophyta; Magnoliopsida; Brassicales; Brassicaceae. The record is from RNAcentral.